Molecule: ribosomal RNA, 460 nt
Filed under: uncultured bacterium
Lineage: Bacteria
Description: partial 16S ribosomal RNA
Rfam family: Bacterial small subunit ribosomal RNA
Source: RNAcentral
CCUACGGGGGGCAGCAGUGAGGAAUAUUGGUCAAUGGACGGAAGUCUGAACCAGCCAUGCCGCGUGCAGGAAGACGGCUCUAUGAGUUGUAAACUGCUUUUGUACAAGGGUAAACCUGAAUACAUGUAUUCAGCUGAAAGUACUGUACGAAUAAGGAUCGGCUAACUCCGUGCCAGCAGCCGCGGUAAUACGGAGGAUCCAAGCGUUAUCCGGAUUUAUUGGGUUUAAAGGGUGCGUAGGCGGAUUGAUAAGUUAGAGGUGAAAUGUCCGAGCUUAACUCGGGAACUGCCUCUAAUACUGUUGGUCUAGAGAGUAGAUGCGGUAGGCGGAAUGUAUGGUGUAGCGGUGAAAUGCUUAGAGAUCAUACAGAACACCGAUUGCGAAGGCAGCUUACCAAUCUAUAUCUGACGUUGAGGCACGAAAGCGUGGGGAGCAAACAGGAUUAGAUACCCCAGUAGUC